GAGGAGAGGCAUCUCUCCUCCGUGAAAGAUGGCCUCUGAACAUGCUAUCACCUGUCGAUGGGUCUGCGUCUGAUUAGCUGGUUGGUGAGGUAACGGCUCACCAAGGCGACGAUCAGUAGCCGGUCUGAGAGGAUGAACGGCCACAUUGGGACUGAGACACGGCCCAGACUCCUACGGGAGGCAGCAGUGGGGAAUCUUCCGCAAUGGGCGCAAGCUGACGGAGCAACGCCGCGUGAGUGGAGAAGGUCUUCGGAUCGUAAAGCUCUGUUGAUGGGGACGAACGUGCGAAGGGUGAAUAAUCCUUUGCAAUGACGUACCUAUCGAGGGAACCC
RNAcentral lists this ribosomal RNA (332 nucleotides) under Centipeda infelix. RNAcentral describes it as "bacterial SSU rRNA". It matches the Rfam family "Bacterial small subunit ribosomal RNA", at positions 180 to 493 of the family's 1533-position model. Lineage: Bacteria; Bacillati; Bacillota; Negativicutes; Selenomonadales; Selenomonadaceae. The record is from RNAcentral.